This 292-nucleotide ribosomal RNA is filed under the name uncultured bacterium. RNAcentral describes it as "partial 16S ribosomal RNA". It matches the Rfam family "Bacterial small subunit ribosomal RNA", at positions 505 to 796 of the family's 1533-position model. The record is from RNAcentral.
GUGUCAGCAGCCGCGGUAAUACAGAGGGUGCAAGCGUUGUUCGGAAUUAUUGGGCGUAAAGCGCGUGUAGGCGGCUUUGCAAGUCGGGUGUGAAAGCCCUCGGCUCAACCGAGGAAGUGCGCCCGAAACUGCAGAGCUUGAGUACCGGAGAGGAUGGCGGAAUUCCCCAAGUAGAGGUGAAAUUCGUAGAUAUGGGGAGGAACACCGGUGGCGAAGGCGGCCAUCUGGACGGAUACUGACGCUGAGACGCGAAAGCGUGGGUAGCAAACAGGAUUAGAUACCCUGGUAGUCC